UGAGGAAAGUAUUGCACAAUAGGAGGGAAACUCUGAUGCAGCAACGCCGCGUGGAGGAUGACGCAUUUCGGUGUGUAAACUCCUUUUAUGAGUCAAGAAAAUGACGGUAGCUCAUGAAUAAGCACCGGCUAACUCCGUGCCAGCAGCCGCGGUAAUACGGAGGGUGCAAGCGUUAUUCGGAAUCACUGGGCGUAAAGGACGCGUAGGCGGGAAGCCAAGUCUGAUGUGAAAUCCUAUGGCUUAACCAUAGAACUGCAUUGGAAACUGGUUACCUAGAGUAUGGGAGGGGGAGAUGGAAUUAGUGGUGUAGGGGUAAAAUCCGUAGAUAUCACUAGGAAUACCGAAAGCGAAGGCGAUCUCCUGGAACAAUACUGACGCUAAGGCGUGAAAGCGUGGGGAGCAAACG
This 406-nucleotide ribosomal RNA is filed under the name uncultured bacterium. RNAcentral describes it as "bacterial SSU rRNA". It matches the Rfam family "Bacterial small subunit ribosomal RNA", at positions 353 to 774 of the family's 1533-position model. The record is from RNAcentral.